GAUGAAGAACGUAGUGAAAUGCGAUAAGUAAUGUGAAUUGCAGAAUUCAGUGAAUCAUCGAAUCUUUGAACGCACCUUGCGCCCUUUGGACAUUCCGAAGGGCAUGCCUGUUUGAGUAUCAUGAACACCUCAACUCUCAUGGCUUGUCUGUGAUGAGCUUGGACUUUGGGGGUCUUGCUGGCCUGUGGUCGGCUCCUCUCAAAUGGAUCAGCUUGCCAGUGUUUGGUGGCAUCACAGGUGUGAUAACUAUCUGCGCUUGUGGUUUUCCAUCAGAUAACCUUCAGUGAUAUGGAGGUUCGCUGGAGCUCACAAAUGUCUCACCUUAGUGAGGACAGCCCUUUGAACGUUUGAUCUCAAAUCAGGUAGGACUACCCGCUGAACUUAAGCAUAUCAAUAAGCGGAGGA
This 405-nucleotide unclassified non-coding RNA is filed under the name soil metagenome. Its description in RNAcentral is "partial contains 5.8S ribosomal RNA, internal transcribed spacer 2, and large subunit ribosomal RNA". The stretch from base 1 to 121 matches the Rfam family "5.8S ribosomal RNA", at positions 35 to 154 of the family's 154-position model. The record is from RNAcentral.